Molecule: signal recognition particle RNA, 98 nt
Filed under: Proteobacteria bacterium CAG:495
Lineage: Bacteria; Pseudomonadati; Pseudomonadota
Also listed under: 2 other names
Description: Bacterial small signal recognition particle RNA
Rfam family: Bacterial small signal recognition particle RNA
About the family: The signal recognition particle (SRP) is a universally conserved ribonucleoprotein involved in the co-translational targeting of proteins to membranes. Archaeal SRP consists of a 7S RNA and homologues of the eukaryotic SRP19 and SRP54 proteins.
Source: Rfam by way of RNAcentral
AAAGGAGGGCAACGGGUUGACCGUUCGCCAACCCGGUCAGGUCCGGAAGGAAGCAGCCGUAACGAAUCCGGUUAAGGUCGAUGCUCUCCACCAUUUUU